GGUAGGUGGAGGAUUAGAGUUGGCUGGGUGCUGGUAGGUGGAGGAUUAGUGUUGGCUGAGUGCUGGUAGGUGGAGGAUUAGUGUUGGCUGAGUGCUGGUAGAUGGAGGAGCAGUGAUGUUGGCUGGGUGCUGGACUGGUAGGUGGAUGAUUAGUGUUGGCUGAGUGCUGGUAGGUGGAGGAGCUGUUUGCUGGUUGUUGGAUGUUGAAGCUUGGCUACUGUUGGUCCUUUUCAUCUUUUUAGAUUGGCUCUUGCUUCCAAGAUGUCCAUCGUUUAAGUGUUGUUUUUUUCUGUCAUUUCGUAUUUUUUUUAGCCUCUAUCCUCAACCUCAGCCGUAUAAAUCUUUAGGAGAUUUUUUCUUCUACUCCACAGCAUGAUGGAAGCCUGCUGGAGAGUGACUGAGCUUCUUUCUCCAAGACAUCCACUGCAUUGGGGAGCUCCAUGAGAUGCUGGCAAAUCUGAUUAAUUUGUGGACAAUGUAGCCUGCAAGAUGGAAGAGAAUACAUUUCUCAGUUUUGGAAGUCUGCCAAAAAGCUACUGUCAUCUUCCUGGUAGCUCCCAGAUCUGACGGUUGUGAGGAACUGCCCUACAGAUAUAAUUCUCAGUGCAUGAUGGAAUUCCACUGGAGUUGGUAUGGGAUUUUUAGACCUCACACAGCUGAAUGUAUUUUCAAGGCAGUCUUGUGUGAACCUUGAAGUUAACACAAACCUGUGUCCUCGUGUCAGCAUCUCUUCCUGUAUGCCCAAAACUGAUUUUGUUGCCAUUAUCACCCCUUUUUGAAUAGGCUUCCAUCUCCCUUAUGACCAAUCUUCAUCCCAUGGAACAGAUGGAUGAUAUCCUGUAGGAAGAUGAUGGCCUUUUCAUACUCCUCUAUCUUGACCCUGCUCAGUGCUGUAAUUGGAUGGCGAGAUGACAUUAGAUCAAACCAAUGAUCCACUUGCUCCAAGAACCACGCUGUAGUCAGGUAGGAGAGAGGGCGGUUUUCUUGCUGCACCAUAUACUUCAGCCCAGCACUUGUUGCCUUACUAAAAACAUUAAGAGCAGGACCAACCUUCAUUUUUUCAAAGUGGCUUGGCUCUAUGGCUGCAGCUGAUAGAUGGGGAGCUACUUUUAAUGCCAUCCCUUCUUGAAAGGACAAUAAGUCCUUAAUAGGGUCCACUGAAACCUCGUUGGAAGAUGUUUUGGCGUGGUCGACCCCAAAGGAUUUCCACAUGGCCUGGUUAGGGCUACCCAUAUCGGUGGUGACAGCAAGCACAUGUAGCCCUAUGGAUGCUGCCCUCUCUAUUAUUUCUGUAAUUAUUGGCUUGUACUCUGCUCCAUUGGUAGAAUUACCACUGUAAUGAUAUGCCACUACUUGUUUCCACCGAGUGGUGUUUCCAGCCAACAUAAACACACAAGCAUGUGUUGCUACUCCUGUGUGACCUGGCAAAGUGACAUCACCAUAGAGUUUGCCUGUGAGCAUGUGCAGCUCCACACUUGGAGUGAUUACCAUUUCAUCCAAAGACAGCACACACUCCCUUUCAAGGGUUCUGAUUGCUGGCAAGGGAAUCUGCAAUUCCUGUAGGGUCUUGUAACCAGUUGGACCGGCUGCAAAGCGAAUUUUUAAUGCCUUCUUAAUUGUGUCAUUGCUCCAUUUCAUCCCUUUUGAGACCCAGGUAACUGGCUGAUGGCUCACUGGUAUGCUGACUGGCUGCUGGCUGACUGGGUCUAGGGGUGCAUCGUGGUGCAGGGGCCCUCCUCUUUUUGACCACAGGACGAUGCACAAAGAUGAUUGCUCCUGCUGACUUGAGCCAACCAUUUUUUCUCCUCUCCAUGUCAGUGGGGAAGCCAUAAAUUCGCACACCUUUCUCUGAGCGAUUGGAGCAUCCCCAUGCAGCACAGCAAACCAUGGUGGAGACAAUGCAACGACAACAUGAAAGAAAGGACACAUACAAAAUGCUUGGCAUGCUAUUUAAUUUAUUAGAAAUGUAUUCAUGAAUUGCUGUAAAUAGUUAAUUGCAUUUAUUCAAAUAAAAAUA
Molecule: long non-coding RNA, 2017 nt
Organism: Rhinichthys klamathensis goyatoka
Lineage: Eukaryota; Metazoa; Chordata; Actinopteri; Cypriniformes; Leuciscidae
Exons: 9
Source: RefSeq, a predicted model, not a curated record